Long non-coding RNA from Zea mays, 4583 nucleotides. RefSeq lists it as uncharacterized. The record is from RefSeq and is a predicted model, not a curated record. The transcript is spliced from 2 exons. Lineage: Eukaryota; Viridiplantae; Streptophyta; Magnoliopsida; Poales; Poaceae.
GCUCCAUUAUUGGACACCUCCGAGCCCAUCCGCAUUCCACCGAACACCUUGCGCUGCACCCGCCCACGCUCAUCCGUUUGGACCCGCCGCCGCCACCUGGUUGCUUGCUUUACUUGCUACUGCUGCCUGCCUGCCUGCCUGCCUAGCUAGCUAGCUACCCUAAUCAGCGCGCUUUACUCGUCGUCUGAGGUUUCCGGGGUUGGCUCCCGGUUGAGGUCGGGGUUCUUGGGGCGGCGGCGAUGGAACGACAGCGGCUGCGGAGAGGUGCCGCCGCCGCAGUGGAGCGCGUCGACGCGGGCGCCGACCUCGGCCGCCUUCUUGCGGAUGGCGGCGGCUGUGAGCCCCGCGCCGUCCUCGGGGUUGUCGGCCACCGCCGCGCCGUCGAGCUGGUCGGGGAAGUUGAGCCGCGCGGAGCGGCCGCGGAGGCAGAAGACGGCCGUGUCGUAGGCGCACGCGGCGGCGACGGCGGUGGAGUAGGACCCGAGCCAGAUCCGCGACCGCUUGUUCGGCUCGCGGAUCUCCGCCACCCACUUGCCCCACUUGCGCAUCCGGACGCCGCGGUACUGCCUCCCUCCGCCGCGGCCGUGCCCUGCCACCGGCGCGACCGCUCCACCGGCGCCCAGCACCGGCGCAGGCGGCUUUGAAGCCGGGGAGGCGGCAGGCGCGGGCUGGGGCGGCGGGCAGAAGGCAGUGGCGUCCACCUCCAUCCCGCGGUUGGGCAGCAGCAGUUUGCCGCGGCGGCGGCGGGGGUGGUGGUGGUCGUGGCCCUCGUGGUAGAGAUGGCAACGGGUCGGGUUCGGGUCGGGUGGAGAAAAAACCCACCCGCGACCGCACCCGCGGAAUAAGCCCAAACCCGCCCGCGACCACACCCGCGGGUGAAAUCCCACACCCGCACCCGCACCCGUCGGGUUUCGGGUGGGUUUCGGGUCCCCGUCGGGUGUGCGUGCUGUGACCAGCAGACCGGCUGACGCCAGGUGAAGGCCCACUGGCCCAGCAGCAAAAAACAGUUCACAGCAGCACUCGUCGGUGUAGCUGCACUUGAGGAACCUCCUGCAACCACAGCACUGCUCUUUGUGGGAACUUGACGACUGCUCCUGCUCGGCCUCGAAGCACCUUGGUCAGACAUCAGACUCUGCAAUUUACAAAUUAGAGCUGCUCAAGUCAAGCUGUGCAAGGGCCAAGGGACAUGCUCACGGCUCACCUCACCUACAAGGAUAGGAACCUCGUACGUGGUGGGAGCAGGCUGCGCCGCUGGCCGCUGCAGUCGGACUCCGGUGGUCCUGGGGAGUGCCGGAGUGGGGAGUGCCGGUCCUAGAUAGUGGAGACUUGGACUCCUGGCUUGGCCUCGGACGCUCGGUGGCUCCUAGGGAUGCGUCCUCCUCCGGUGGUCCUGGGGAUCCGGCAGGAGCAGGAUGCGGCGGCCCUGGGGAUGCGUCCUCCGGUGGUGGUGACGGCGGAGGGGGUGGCCGGGGUGGGGCGGGCAGCGGCGGGCGGAUCUAUCGUGGCCGCGGCCGCCUGGAGCCCUGGACGCCUGGUGCAGUGGUGCUAGCCUGCUAAUCUGCUAUGGCGGCCGGUUGGGGACUUGGGGUUGAGGGAUUUGGGUUUUUCUCAGGGCCCACUGGAAUACAAACUGGAUGCGCACGGGACUUGGGCGGGUGGCCGGCUGCAACUCUGCGCUUCGGGCGUAGCUCCGGGUUCCGGGUGACCCGCGGGCGAAAAUCAAAACCCGCACCCGCACCCGUAAUGCUUCGGGUCGGGUUUGGGUCUAACCCGUGGGUGGAUUUUUACACCCGAACCCGAACCUGACGGGUGCAAAACCCGACGGGGCCCGAACCCGCGGGUGAAAUUGCCAUCCCUACCUCGUGGGCGCUGCUUGGCUUGCUACUGGUCUGCGUGUAUCUCUUCUCUUUCCCUCUUUCUCUUGCGCCUAUGAGCGGUGGGGGUAUAUAAAUAGUUGGGAUUAGGCGAACGGCCAGGUGGGGAUUAGGCGUGGGGGCGUGACUGGGUGGGUGGGAUGGCGAUUAGGGCGUGUGCGUGGCGGGAUUUUUCGCGGGCGCGAGUCGGUGCGCACGGCUGUGGGCUGCCUGGUGUGUGGCGACAGGGACGGCCGGCGCUUGCGCGCUGUGAGUGUGUGACGGUGACUAUGAGCUUAUCGCCAGGGAGUUUUUAGCAGAGUAAACUAGUCGCUCGUUAGGUUUUGGUGUGACAGGUGCGGUCAUUAGUGCGCUCGAUAUAAUUGAUGGUCGGUGCGCACUGGGAACGCCGUGAUGCAACAUGGAAUCUUGAUAUGGCACGCUCAGUUCUGUCUGAACGCCGCAAAAGCUACGAGGGGUGGACAUGUACAGGUACAGCGACAAACGAUGGCAACGCAAGUAGGCGUCGAUGCCAGCUUUACGUUACGUGCACGGUGCACCGCAUCUGGCUGGCCCCGCCGCGGCGGCGGCGGCGGUAACGAGUGCUGUGCUUGGCUAAUCAAGAGAGCCGUCGCAGUUACGCAACGGGAUCAUGUAACCCCGGGGUGGCCAGCCGAUGCGACCGUCCACCACGCAAGAGACGCGACCGAGCCGAGAGGCGUGCGCUGCCGACGGGGGCCGAGCAGCUAGCUACUAGCCAGCACCUCGCCCGUGUCAGCUGCGGCGCGACACGCGACCGUCUACGAACGCGAGAGCCGUGUGCGACGCCGGACGGUGGCCGAACAGCCCACCCUCGCCAAUGUCAGCAGCGCCGCGUGUCGCGCUGCAAGGAGGGCAGCGAACGGACGGACGGGCACCGGGAUGGGCCGGCCGCGAGCCGAGACGGUGCGCGGCGACCGACGAGGACGGGACAGCUAGCACACGCCGACAUGCGUGGGAGAGCGGCGGCCACGUGGCGACGCGGACAGACUCCCCCUCCCCCCGGCUAGAUACGGGAAGCGAGCGCUGCGAGCCUAUGACCUCGAGCGGAGUGGGAGAAAGAGAAGCCGUGCCGGACGGGCGGGGCGUCCCGUGUGUCCGUGUCGCGUAGCGCGGGGCCCGCCACCACAGCCCGACAAGGCGGGAGCGACCGCGACGCCGUUGUUAUCCGCUUUGGUUCGGUUCGGUCCUCCGGGGUGUGCCGAUGCCGAUACCCCGAUGCCGCCCGCACUCCCGCGCACGCGGGGCCCUGCUGCCGUGCGGUGCCGGCCCUUGCAUUUCUUUUCCUGCCUCUCGUUCGUCAACGACGCCACGCGGGGUAGGGCGGCUGACGGUUUGGGGUUGUCUGGUUCCGUAUCCUUGAGCGGCUGGAGUUGGCCGGUGGUCGGCCGGGUCACCGACUCGCCGCUCCCUUGGUGAGUUUGUCCCGUCACGCUGGGGCCACUGAAGGCGAUCCGCUGCUUCGCCCGUAGUACUAGUGGAUUUCGCGACGCAGCUUCCAGACAGUUCCUUCACUGAGACAGGUGGUUCGAUGGCAGCGUCGGUAGCUGGAUACGGAACCACGUUCGCGAAUCGCGGCUGUCGUCCUGUACUAGCAGGUGGUUUUCACGUGGCGCUCAUGUUUUCGCACGGUCCAGGGUGUCUGGCAGGUGGGACAGCCGGACAGGUUUACCGUACAGAGUGAAGCAGAAGAUAUACGCCAACGGAAGCAGGACAUAAAAGGAUACUGUUAUUAGGGAUAACGUUUCUCAUUUUUUUCAUAUACUGGAUGAUUUGUUGAUUGGUUGGCUACGCUCAUAGCCGUGGCGUUCCGCUGACCAUAUUUGGCGUGUGUUUUGAUAGUUGCAUAGCAUCUCUAUCGUCUGCUCCCACGCAUAGAGCGUUGGUGUUUUUUUAUGGGUAGCUUGCAUGUGUGGAAACGUAACUUUCUCUUGUUUCCAGCGGCCCAGACUGGCACGAUAGUGGCGCGAGACGCCCCUACAACCAAUCAUGCGUAUAGAUGUUCUGCCAACAGCGAAAAAGAAAAAAAUAUGGAAAGAAUCUCGAACAUACACCAUCCAGGGAAGAGCUAGAGAUUUUUUUUUUGUUAUUAAUGGGUUCAGGAAUAUACGUAUAACUAUAAAUCAUAAUAAUACCUCAUAUAGAUAUUAUAUAGAUUAAAGGGUGAAAACAUACCAGCUGAAUAGGAUCCUUAAACCAUAUGUUUGUAUUAUGUUUAAAAAACACUUUGAUGCUUUGCAAUGUAUAUGUAGUUUCCUCAUUCCUGAUAUAAUUAAACAAAAAAAUUAUGUUAAUUUCACAAGUUUUGAACAUUUGAUCAUGCACAAUUAAUUGAAGUACUAUAAAUACUCACAUGUUAAAGCUCCCCACUUCGAAAUUUCAUCUUCUUAAAUCGUAUGUUUGGUUACUCGUACCGUCUCGUCUUGGACCACCGCAUGCGUUGACUCUUGACUCUAUCUAAGCUCCUGUUUGGUUGCCUGCACAAGGGAGACGCAGGCUGCAUGAGCGGAUGCAAAACAAGUUAUUUAGCUAUUUGGUUGCAUCCACAUGUACGUAGAAAAUUGCCGUAUCGGAUUAGCCAAGGCCACCCGAGCCUGCGCGUCCAGAUACAGGCAUCCAAUCAGGCGAAAAAGAUCAAUCACCUCAUCAUUACCAAUGGUUGAAAACAUAUCUACAUAGCAUAUUAGGCAA